RNAcentral lists this ribosomal RNA (692 nucleotides) under uncultured Bacillota bacterium. RNAcentral describes it as "bacterial SSU rRNA". It matches the Rfam family "Bacterial small subunit ribosomal RNA", at positions 1 to 683 of the family's 1533-position model. Lineage: Bacteria; Bacillati; Bacillota. The record is from RNAcentral.
GGAUCCAGACUUUGAUUAUGGCUCAGGAUGAACGCUAGCUACAGGCUUAACACAUGCAAGUCGAGGGGCAGCGGGAUUGAAGCUUGCUUCAAUUGCCGGCGACCGGCGCACGGGUGAGUAACGCGUAUCCAAUCUUCCGUACACUCAGGGAUAGCCUUUCGAAAGAAAGAUUAAUACCUGAUAGUAUCUUAAGCACACAUGUAAUUAAGAUUAAAGAUUUAUCGGUGUACGAUGGGGAUGCGUUCCAUUAGGUAGUAGGCGGGGUAACGGCCCACCUAGCCAACGAUGGAUAGGGGUUCUGAGAGGAAGGUCCCCCACAUUGGAACUGAGACACGGUCCAAACUCCUACGGGAGGCAGCAGUGAGGAAUAUUGGUCAAUGGACGAGAGUCUGAACCAGCCAAGUAGCGUGAAGGAUGAAGGUCCUACGGAUUGUAAACUUCUUUUAUAAGGGAAUAAACCCUCCCACGUGUGGGAGCUUGUAUGUACCUUAUGAAUAAGCAUCGGCUAACUCCGUGCCAGCAGCCGCGGUAAUACGGAGGAUGCGAGCGUUAUCCGGAUUUAUUGGGUUUAAAGGGAGCGCAGACGGGUCGUUAAGUCAGCUGUGAAGGUUUGGGGCUCAACCUUAAAAUUGCAGUUGAUACUGGCGUCCUUGAGUGCGGUUGAGGUGUGCGGAAUUCGUGGUGUAGCGGUG